UACGAAGGUCCCAAGCGUUAUCCGGAUUUAUUGGGUUUAAAGGGCGCGUAGGCGGCUUAUUAAGUCAGGGGUGAAAGACGGUGGCUCAACCAUCGCAGUGCCCUUGAUACUGAUGAGCUUGAAUACACUUGAGGUAGGCGGAAUGUGACAAGUAGCGGUGAAAUGCAUAGAUAUGUCACAGAACACCAAUUGCGAAGGCAGCUUACUAAGGUGCAAUUGACGCUGAGGCACGAAAGCGUGGGGAUCAAACAGG
This 253-nucleotide ribosomal RNA is filed under the name uncultured bacterium. Its description in RNAcentral is "partial 16S ribosomal RNA". It matches the Rfam family "Bacterial small subunit ribosomal RNA", at positions 524 to 776 of the family's 1533-position model. The record is from RNAcentral.